UUCCAAGUCACUGAGGAAAAAAUAAAAAAAAUGCCAAUAUGAAACGGGGGAGAGUGAGGUAGAAGAUAAUUUGCUCCUAAACACGCUGACUAAUAUUCUGCCUGAUGUCUGAUACAGUCAAAUGUCAGAGGAAGUCAAUCAGUUAAAUCAUUCCUGACAUAAAUAUGCUUUGUCUUCACAUGUACUUUUUUAAACCCAUAAUUGUGUUUUAAAAAUAGGUGACCAUGAUUAUCUUAUCACUUCUUUUUUGGUCUCUGUUCCACUGAAUCUUCCUUUGAAGAACACAGCCAGCAGCAGACUGCCUUGAGAGGCUAGCCAUACAUUUCCUGACUACGGUGAGAGGCCUACAAUUAUUUAUGAGGGUUUUUGGACCUCCCAUACUGAAGAUGAAAGCAGAGAGCUUAAAAAAAUAUUUAAAAAAAAAACGAAUUAAACUGUAAUACGUCAACAGUUGCCACCGAACCCUGGAGUCAAAUUCUUACAGAACACACCAGGUUGGGGAGAAAUUACAUUACACAUCCAAUGUGUAAAUGUAGACUGAAGAGUAGAAAGAAGCCACAUUGUACUCCGCCUCCUCUCCAGGUUUUACACGGGAUCUUCAAAUCCAUUCUGGAAUUCAGUGAACGCGUGCUAAAGUUUCCAGUACUCAAACAUAAACUAAUGGCGCUGUCAGCGCGGAGAACGCUCGGAGGAGACGGAUUAGAGUCCACACACAGAGAGGAGAUGAAGAAGAAGCCGAGGUGAC
Long non-coding RNA from Cynoglossus semilaevis (tongue sole), 745 nucleotides. RefSeq lists it as uncharacterized. NCBI's taxonomy places the organism in Eukaryota, Metazoa, Chordata, Actinopteri, Pleuronectiformes, Cynoglossidae. The transcript is spliced from 3 exons. The record is from RefSeq and is a predicted model, not a curated record.